AUCGCUUCUCGGCCUUUUGGCUAAGAUCAAGUGUAGUAUCUGUUCUUAUCAAUUCAGUAAUUGAAUAGUAUCACUAGGGAAAAAAAAAACUGUAUGCUACUUAGGAAUAAAU
RNAcentral lists this small nuclear RNA (112 nucleotides) under Erinaceus europaeus (western European hedgehog). RNAcentral describes it as "U2 spliceosomal RNA". It matches the Rfam family "U2 spliceosomal RNA". Rfam says of the family: U2 is a small nuclear RNA (snRNA) component of the spliceosome (involved in pre-mRNA splicing). Complementary binding between U2 snRNA (in an area lying towards the 5' end but 3' to hairpin I) and the branchpoint sequence (BPS) of the intron results the bulging out of an unpaired adenosine, on the BPS, which initiates a nucleophilic attack at the intronic 5' splice site, thus starting the first of two transesterification reactions that mediate splicing. Lineage: Eukaryota; Metazoa; Chordata; Mammalia; Eulipotyphla; Erinaceidae. The record is from Rfam by way of RNAcentral.